This 67-nucleotide transfer RNA is filed under the name Farynala dextra. RNAcentral's name for it is "tRNA-Tyr". Lineage: Eukaryota; Metazoa; Arthropoda; Insecta; Hemiptera; Cicadellidae. The record is from RNAcentral.
GUUGAUGAGUCUGAAUUUUAGGUGGUAAACUGUAAAUUUACUUAUGGUGCUUCGCACUCCUUCAAUA